This 279-nucleotide long non-coding RNA is filed under the name Zostera marina. RNAcentral describes it as "long non-coding RNA (ZMAR_LNC000460)". The record is from RNAcentral. Lineage: Eukaryota; Viridiplantae; Streptophyta; Magnoliopsida; Alismatales; Zosteraceae.
AUUGAACGACAAAACACAUUGCAAGGGUUGAUUCAUGACAUCGUUUACAGAUCUUCCGUCGGACAUUCUUCUUACAAUUUUCGACAAGAUCGGAUCGAGCACAUGACAUCUUACACUCGGCACAAUUUGUGUGCAAGGAAUGGUAUAACCAUUCUCUCAAUUUUCAAACAUGGAGUCAUAUCGAUGGAACAGACUUAAUCUUCAAGGAACUCGAGGUUGCUCUAGAUCGUAGUUCUGGGGGUUUGAUUGACUACGAAACUUAUACACUGAAUAUACGGG